RNAcentral lists this long non-coding RNA (2122 nucleotides) under Salvia miltiorrhiza (redroot sage). RNAcentral's name for it is "long non-coding RNA (SMIL_LNC007242)". The record is from RNAcentral. Lineage: Eukaryota; Viridiplantae; Streptophyta; Magnoliopsida; Lamiales; Lamiaceae.
UUUUCUUAUUUCUCCUUAUUCUCCCUCUGUAGCCGCUCUGUCCGUCUUCUCCCUCUCUCCCACUUUCCAGAAUCAAGAUUGUCAAUUAAUGUCUUAUCUGUAACGAAUGAUUUGCAAGAGCGACGUUGGGAAAAGGAGCGAACAGAGCGAUCGCGACGCUGUUCGGCGAAGCGCACGAUUUGGUGAAUCUGACGCCAAAGAAAGUGGAGGUCGUUUUGAUCUUACGCCAGCAGGUGUAGUCGAAGGCGGUGUGAAAUUUCCAUAGAUUCAUGGCGNUUGCAGGGUUCGUACACUCUGACAAUGAAAAUGGUGGAUGGGAACAACAACCAGUUGACAUGCAUUACAGUCGACUUCAGCAUCGGUUUCAUAGCAGAAGAGAAGUUGGCUGAUAUGUAAAUGCUCGAGAAUAUUCCUAUAUUUCCUGGCUUUAAUGUAUAGAAGACUUGUUUCUAUGUAUGAUGUCCGAACCCUUUCACGUUUGAGUAUCUGUGUAUGUACGCCGACGGUAAAGACUUUUAAUAAAUUUUACAUCCCCAUUUUCUGGUUUUGGUUGAUUCUUGAUAGUAUAUAACUAUUUGAGUGCCUAGGGUUCAAAAUAUAUAUUUUCCAUCAUCUUUUUACAUGUUCCAUCGGGUGAAUAAUUUUAUGUUGGCCAGGAUGGAAACAAUUUUUGGGCAAUUUGUUUUCCCUCCUCUCUAUUUUAGUUCAUUGAUAAUACACAAAAACUUAUCUGCCGCCUCACAAAUUGAGCGCUCACCACAUGCGCGCGGAUCUUGGUGCGACCCGACCCGGAUCCGGGUCCAUCAUAUAAAAAAAAUUCCUGAAAACCUACCCUUUUCUUCUUUCUCCUUUUUUUCCCUCUGUAGCCGCUCUGUCCAUCUUCUCCCUCUCUCCCACUUUCCAGAAUCAAGAUUGUCAAUUAAUGUCUUAUCUGUAACGAAUGAUUUGCAAGAGCGACGCUGGGAAAAGGAGCGAACAGAGCGAUCGCGACGCUGUUCGGCGAAGCACACGAUUUGGUGAAUCUGACGCCAAAGAAAGUGGAGGUCGUUUUGAUCUUACGCCAGCAGGUGUAGUCGAAGGCGGCGUGGAAUUUCCAUAGAUUCAUGGCGCGAUUGACGAAGAUUGGGAAUUCGAGGAAUUGCUCUUGUUUGGCCUGCGGUGGAUGCCAGCAGUGAUUGAUCGUCACUCGCUUCGUUCCGUUUUCGAAGAAGCACUGUUAAGAACGAUCAAAGAUAUCGAUUCAGAAUUCUCAAAAGUAUGCACCCAUUUUCCCAUUCACUAUAACCCAGUAAUGUUCUUUGUUAAAGCUUAUUGCUUGUAUGAAGUUUCUUUGCCCAUCUCCAGCAAGCUUUGGAUAGAGGUUAUGUUUUUGGGUCUACCGGCACUAUUGCUCUUCUAUUCGAAGGUCAGUUAAGCUUCACAGUGGGUGCUCUGUUUUCUACUGUUUUAUAUGAAUUCUUGAUUUUAUUUUUUACCCUCUGUUGUGGAUUGGUUGAAAGCCACAUGCAUCUUUUGGUUCCUUGGAAUUCUGUUUUGUGUAAUAAGUUAAUUAAGUAGAAGUUUUAGAAGGUUGUCUAGUGGUAGUGGUUGAACUUCUCUCUAAGUUUCGUCACUAAGGUUGUGGAUUACAUAAUUCAGCGCAUACAUGCUCUUUCUGUGUUGAUUAUUACUCCAUCAUAAUGUGAUUUGGUUUUUGUUGGUAUUCUUGAUUACUUUUUUUUUUUUUUUUAUAAUUUGGUUUGAAUCUAAAUAAUGUCAUUUACAUAUGUUUCAGGUAGGGAUGACAAUCGGGUACGACGGGUACGAAUAGUGACUAUCUAUACCCAUAUUCACAAACUAAAUGAAUAGUGAUUUUUAACCACGAAAUUAUCCAUGGAUAUCAAUUGGUAUCCAAACCCGCAACCCGCGGAUACCCGCCCCUCUCGGGUAUCCGCGAACCCGCUGUUCAUUGGGUACCCGCCACCCGCUAUCCGUCGAAUACCCGCCACCCACUAUCCGUCGGAUACUCGCCACUCACUAUCCACCGGAUACCCGCCACCCACUAUCCAUUGGAUACCCACGAAAUAAAAUUUAAUUAUAAAUUUAUAACAAAUUUAACAGGUAAUUGACAGGUAUUUCAUUG